CCAGUGAGCCUAGCGGGUGGGACAUACUCCCCACUGCAUGCUCCGGAGCCAAAGUGAAGUGAGCCUGAAGAUGGCAGCGCCUGAGGAACCCAAACCCAAAAAACUGAAGGUGGAAGCGUCGGGGGCUCUGAGGAGACCACCAGGAGACCUGCGCUUGAUUCUGGCCAUUCUUUCUGCUCAGCUACCACCUGUCAGUGGAGGCUUACGUGCUGCUAUGCUGCUGAAGGGGUUUCAGCGGAGCUGCCAGACUUAAGAUGGACUAGGAGGAAAGGCCUGGAAAUCCACUUCUGAAAAUCAGCCCAUGCACACUCUGUGGAUCACAAAGUCCAAUCUGCAACUGAUAAGGGGAAUGGGGCAGCACCAGGCAGUGUUUUGUUCUGUAUGGGGUCAACAUGAACUGGAGGCCAACUCAACGGCAGCUAGCAACAAGUAGGGAGCUCACAUUGUACACUCAGGACCUCUGAUUCACAUUUCUUGCUAUUUUUAUUGUGCUGUGAAGAUUAAAAAAUAGGAGCUGUCAAAAGUGAUUUCUGUAUGUGCUAAGGAAGCACAUUAUUUAAGGAAACUGUGACAGUGUGUUUGGGUGGAUAUUUUUUUGGGUGGAUAUUUAUCGUUCAAGUUUUUUCCCAUGUGGUAAGAAUUUAUUGAUAAGCAGCUUUGUUCAUAUCAAAACCCCCUGUUGAUGCUGUCAGUGAGCAUUGGACUGCUAAAGUCAGUGAUUCAAAACCAACAGCCACUCUUCAGGAGCAAG
Echinops telfairi (small Madagascar hedgehog) is the source of this 751-nucleotide long non-coding RNA. RefSeq lists it as uncharacterized. Lineage: Eukaryota; Metazoa; Chordata; Mammalia; Afrosoricida; Tenrecidae. The record is from RefSeq and is a predicted model, not a curated record. The transcript has 3 exons.